Molecule: RNA transcript, 2591 nt
Organism: Capsicum annuum
Lineage: Eukaryota; Viridiplantae; Streptophyta; Magnoliopsida; Solanales; Solanaceae
Exons: 3
Source: RefSeq, a predicted model, not a curated record
AAACAAAAAAUUAGUUAAAUUUGAUCGACAUCGAGUUGAAAUUCAUAAAUAUUCCACUAUAAAUAACAAUCUUAUUACUUAUAGAUAAAGACUAACUUGAUAAAGUAACUAACCAUUUUUUUUCCUCAAAUCUUGAUAAAUUACAAUGGGUUAGAUCGAGAAAGUAUCGCCUCUCUCUAACUUUCCCUUACCUUUCCCCUUUUGGCCUUUUCCUUUUCCCAUCCAUUCCAAUUUCUUUUCCCGUUUCUGUGUUACUUCUUCUCCUAUGGAUUCCCCCAUGCUUCAAGCAUCACAUUCCUAUUGUGAUAUAGUGACUAGUAAAAUCUCUGCCUCAUUAAUUUCUAUGGUUAAUUCCCAUGUGGAUGAAAUUCCUGCUGAUCUCGAUGACUCCAUGGUCAAGCUUUUCGUUGAUGACAUGCACCUCCUUAAUGCUCCAUGGAAAUACUUUGUUAUUGUCAAGACUUUUGGCUCCAAGUUCACCCACCAAUAUCUCAACACGAAAUUGGAUGCGUUAUGGCGACUGGCUGAGCCUCUUUGCUCAAUUGACUUGGGACCUGACUUUUACAUAGUUAAGUUGCAAAAUCCAGAGAGUCAGGUGAAAGUAUGGCAAGGCGGCCCUUGGUUUAUUGCAGGGAGCUUUGUAUCCAUUAGGAAAUGGGAUCCCAACUUCGUUCCUAGUAACUCCAUGAUUGAUUACACUGCUAUUUGGAUCCACCUGCCCCAGCUCCUUUGUCACCAUUGGACAUCAGAAGCAAAACUUAGUCUAUGAAGGAGAGAAAAUACUUUGUAAAUUGUGUGGUCUUCUUGGCCACACGGAACAACACUAUACUCAACGACAAGUAUCCCAGUCAAUUAAUCCGCCUACAAAUAGAUUUACCUCGCUGGAGCAGCAUCCCAGUGAAUGGAAAACAAUUACCUUUGCACGCAUGAAGAAGAAUCCACAACGUCUAGACUCAGGGACACAUCAGCAACGAAAGGAAAAGAGCCAGCAACUCCAGCUUCAAGAGAAACACUUGGAGAGUGAACAGAUGCAACAAUAUCUGAUGAUGAAGAUGAGCUACAGAUGGAUUUCUUAUUAGAACAAUCUGGAGGUGAUGCACAUGACUUGAUGGGUAUGGGAUUUGGUCUUCCUACUGAAUCUGAAAGGUCUCUAAUGGACAGGGUCAUACAGGAACUCAAAAUUAAGCUCAAACAGGGAUUUAGAUCAAGAAUUGAAGAUAUGAGGAAAGAGAUACUGAGAAAGAAAAGGACAGGGAAGAUACCUGGUGACACCACUAUUGUUUUAAAGAAUUGGUCACAGCAACACUCUAAAUGUACUUAUCCUACUGUAAGUCACUCACCUAAUAUAUAGUAAUUAUUUCUUGUGAAACCUCAAAAUUCCUUAGUUCCUGAUUAAGUUAUGCGGACUCUUCACUUUUCAUGUACCCAUUGACAUCUUUGAAUGAAGAGUCCCAGCAACACAGGUUCCUGAAACACUCUCUUGACAUGGAUUAACUAACUCUAGUAAUAUAAUGUCAUACAUAUAUAUUCAAUUCAGUUUCAAACAUAGCAGUAAAAAGCAGAGAAUAAAUAGACAACAUAUCUGGGCACCAGAUAUUGGUGUUGCCAAUGCAGCAGCUACAGUUGAAAGAGAUAUAAGGAAGAGGAAACAGAUAAAGGUUUCAGAUGCAAGGGUUUAUUAUUAAGUUUUCUGCUCUCCUAAAUAUGAUCAUCUAAUUAGGUGGGUCAGAUCAGAUAGUCCAUGCCAAUGUAUUGUAUUCCUGUUUUAAACUCCCUUGGGUCCCCCCAUAGAGGAAGCCAUUUCUACAAUUACCAAAGUAGAUAUUCAUGCGACACGGACAAUGGAUCACUUUUGUUACCCCAUUUCUUCAAGAAAAUGUCUUGACAAAUCCCAGAUUAAACCCUGAUGUUUUCCCAUCUAGUUGCUUUCUAGCUGGCAAAUAUAGAACUCAGAUGAGAUUUUUCUCAUACUUGGUUUCUGAGUCGGACGUUGUAAGAUUCAUGUUGACUUGAUCAACCUGCAAUUGAAUCAUAGAUAGAGGGUCUACAGACUAGGGCUUGCAGAUUAGUUUGCUCUAUUCUUUUAUUGUAACUACGCAAAUAAAUCACAUAGGCGUAAGGUGACUAAAUUAACCUCAUCAGUAAGAAAUUCCAAGGGCAAAAAAAGACAAAUAUCUCAUAAAAGCCACACAUCUAGAAGAACAAAAAGGCAGAAACCUCAGCUUAGCCUAAAGGUAAAAAAGGCAAGCUCUAUAUGCAACAAGGUUUACACAUUGUUGGACAUUGCCAAUUUACUAACAAUCGAAAAAGAAGAUUCACCAAGUAAGUUUAUUUUUUACCUAGUGAAAUUGUCCAUCGCCGUUACCACUUUUUAUGAGAGAUGCAACCUUUACGGCCAACUUUUGAGAGAGAUGCAGAGAGAAGAGAGCCAUGAGAGAGAAGAGAGCCGAGAGAGAGAAGAGAGAAGCGUUCCCUAGAGAGAGAGGAAGCGAGAGAGAGAGAGAGAGAAUUGGGAAAGCUGUGCGUUUAGGGUAUUUUAAAAGUAAAUUUUCGACUACUUCAAUCGAAAAUAAAUUUAAUAUGUUUAAUUA